AUACGGAGGAUCCGAGCGUUAUCCGGAUUUAUUGGGUUUAAAGGGUGCGCAGGCGGCCAUUUAAGUCAGCGGUUAAAUCGUGGGGCUCAACCCCAUUCUGCCGUUGAUACUGGGUGGCUUGAUUGCGGUCGAGGUUGGCGGAAUUCGUUGUGUAGCGGUGAAAUGCAUAGAUAUGACGAAGAACACCGAUUGCGUAGGCAGCUGACCAGACCGCAAAUGACGCUCAUGCCCGAAAGUGCGGGGAUCGAACAGGAUUAGAUACCCUGGUAGUCCGCACAGUAAACGAUGAAUACUUGUUUUCGGCGAUAUAAUGUCGGAGGCAAAGCGAAAGCGAUAAGUAUUCCACCUGGGGAGUACGCCGGCAACGGUGAAACUCAAAUGAAUUGACGGGG
This 392-nucleotide ribosomal RNA is filed under the name uncultured bacterium. RNAcentral describes it as "partial 16S ribosomal RNA". It matches the Rfam family "Bacterial small subunit ribosomal RNA", at positions 523 to 918 of the family's 1533-position model. The record is from RNAcentral.